CUGCUCCCUACAGCAGCGCAUAUGUACUAAAACUGGAAGGAUACAGAGAAGAUUGGCAUGGCCCUUGUGCAAGGAUGACAUGCAGAUUCGUGAAGUGGUCCAUAUUUUU
Arvicola amphibius (Eurasian water vole) is the source of this 109-nucleotide small nuclear RNA. Lineage: Eukaryota; Metazoa; Chordata; Mammalia; Rodentia; Cricetidae. The record is from RefSeq and is a predicted model, not a curated record.